This is a small nucleolar RNA of Apodemus sylvaticus (European woodmouse), 132 nucleotides long. RefSeq annotates it as small nucleolar RNA SNORA17. The record is from RefSeq and is a predicted model, not a curated record. Lineage: Eukaryota; Metazoa; Chordata; Mammalia; Rodentia; Muridae. The transcript has a single exon.
CCUGUUCCUAGAGGUGGUGCAGGAGUGGCGGCUGUGGCACAUGUUCGCCAGUAGGUGGCAGAGAGGAGCGAGGCUGUGUUUAUGCUUAGUGUUCUGAAAUGUGAACAUCUGAAUGAUCAGUAGCCUAACAAU